This is a long non-coding RNA of Salmo salar (Atlantic salmon), 1254 nucleotides long. RefSeq lists it as uncharacterized. The record is from RefSeq and is a predicted model, not a curated record. Lineage: Eukaryota; Metazoa; Chordata; Actinopteri; Salmoniformes; Salmonidae.
UUUUGAGAUAUUGUACGUCAUUACCAAAUUGGCUGUAAUUUCAUCAAAUAAUUAUUUAGGAUACAUUGUAUGCUUGCUGUUCAACUUCAUGCUAGAAUCCCUGCUAUUUAUGACCAAAUACUGUAAAAAUGUAAUUCCCACCACAUGUCAUUACCACCACAUAAUGAACUGUGAUGGUAAGGACAAUGUGGUGGUAAUGACUAAAUGUAUUAGUCAUCUCUCCAAAGUUCUCUCCCACCUUCAUGAGUUGAAUCCAUCUGCCACUGUCUUCCAUGUUGUAAGUGAUGGACCAACCACACAGUACAGAUCCAAGAAUAAUUUAUUCUACCUGAGCACAAUUGAAGGCUGGACGCAGCUGUGAAGAGAAGUUGAUUCCAUGGUGGCAAGAGGAAUGGACCUUCAGAAUGGAAGGGUUCUACGAGGAACUUUCCCAAGAGCAGUCAAAUGUGAAGCUAUUUUACGUCACAGAGCAAGAGAUUGAGAAAAUUGAUCUCCUGCUUCCAGAUCGUAUUGAGAUGACCCGUGGAACAAUGAAAAUACACCAGAUCGUCACUGCCAUUCCAGGACAAAUCACAUGGAGAGUUCUAAGUUGUUGGUGCUCAACUCCACAUCUGUGAUUGUUUUGGCCCACAGACUGAGAUAAUUCAACAAACAGAGGCAGACAAAGCACAAUCUUCACCUCAACCUGCACAGCACCACAACUAUUUCCUAGUGCAAAACUGCCCAUUGCAGACAUACAUGAGAGACUGAUUGGAAAGUGGUGUGUUGUGAAAUAUGAUGACGACCCUUACCUUGGUAUUAUACAAGGUGUUGAUGCAGAGAGCAGUGCUCUAGUCAAGACGAUGAGUCGUGUGAGAGCAAACAGAUUCUUUUGGCCAAGGAGAGAGGAAAUUGUAUGGUACCAACCAGAGAAUGUGCUUGGGCUUGUCCCUGAGCCUCAUCCAGUGACCAAAUGGCAUAUGAUGCCUGAUGGCGCAGUCUGGGAGGACAUUUGCUCUCUCGUUAAGCAAUAGAGAGCAUAAUCUUGAGUGAGUCUGAAUCAAUAGACUGCAGCCAGUGAACAACAAUUUGUUUAAUGUCACCUAGUGUUUACAACCUUAUAGAUGUAUUUCUGCCUAAUGCAUUGAAUCCAACAAUUGUUCUGAAAUAUGCUUUAAGUUCUUGAGGCAUGUAACCUUUUUGUUUUUUGAGGUUUUUAAUGUUGUGUUCUAUAUCUUCAAUAAAAUGAAACAUGUACACCUGUGACGUUCAAAA